GUUGGCUUAGAAGCAGCCAUCCUUUAAAGAAAGCGUAACAGCUCACUGGUCUAGACAAGCCGGCCUGCGCCGAAGAUGUAUCGGGGCUAAAGCCAUACACCGAAGCUGAGGACGUGCAUUGCACGUGGUAGCGGAGCGUUCUGUAAGUCUGCGAAGCCCAACCGCGAGGUUGGGUGGAGAUAUCAGAAGUGAGAAUGCUGACAUGAGUAGCGAUAAAGAGUGUGAGAAACACUCUCGCCGUAAGCCCAAGGGUUCCUGCGCAAGGCUAAUCCGCGCAGGGUGAGUCGGCCCCUAAGACGAGGGCGAAAGCCGUAGUCGAUGGGAAUCAGGUUAAUAUUCCUGAACCCGAUGGUAGUGACGGAUGACGUAAGUUGUACAUGCUUAUCGGAUUGUGUGUGCAGCGAAGUUGUUCCAGGAAAUAGCUCCAUCAUUAGGACCGUACCCCAAACCGACACAGGUGGGCAGGUAGAGCAUACCGAGGCGCUUGAGAGAACGAUGUUGAAGGAACUCGGCAAAUUGCCCCCGUAACUUCGGGAGAAGGGGGACCUCCAUUAAGGCAACUUUUUGGAGGUGGCACAGACCAGGGGGUGGCGACUGUUUAUUAAAAACACAGGGCUCUGCGAAGUAGUUAAUACGACGUAUAGGGUCUGACGCCUGCCCGGUGCCGGAAGGUUAAGAGGAGGUGUGAGAGCUCCGAAUUGAAGCCCCGGUAAACGGCGGCCGUAACUAUAACGGUCCUAAGGUAGCGAAAUUCCUUGUCGGGUAAGUUCCGACCUGCACGAAUGGCGUAACGACUUCCCCACUGUCUCCAACAUAGACUCAGCGAAAUUGAAUUGCCUGUCAAGAUGCAGGCUUCCCGCGGUUAGACGGAAAGACCCCGUGCACCUUUACUACAACUUCGCACUGGCAUCAGGCACAACAUGUGCAGGAUAGGUGGUGGGCUUUGAAGCAGUAACGCCAGUUAUUGUGGAGCCUCCCUUGAGAUACCACCCUUGUUCUGCUUGAUGUCUAACUGCGGUCCAUUAUCUGGAUCCAGGACCCUGCGUGGUGGGUAGUUUGACUGGGGCGGUCGCCUCCUAAAGAGUAACGGAGGCGCGCGAAGGUUGGCUCAGAGCGGUCGGACAUCGCUCGUUGAGUGCAAUGGCAGAAGCCAGCCUGACUGCGAGACUGACAAGUCGAGCAGAGUCGAAAGACGGCCAUAGUGAUCCGGUGGUCCCGCGUGGAAGGGCCAUCGCUCAACGGAUAAAAGGUA
This 1252-nucleotide ribosomal RNA is filed under the name marine metagenome. RNAcentral describes it as "bacterial LSU rRNA". It matches the Rfam family "Bacterial large subunit ribosomal RNA", at positions 1100 to 2465 of the family's 2925-position model. The record is from RNAcentral.